CCUACGGGAGGCAGCAGUGGGGAAUUUUGGACAAUGGGCGCAAGCCUGAUCCAGCCAUGCCGCGUGCGGGAAGAAGGCCUUCGGGUUGUAAACCGCUUUUUGUCAGGGAAGAAAAGGUUCUGGCUAAUACCUGGGACUCAUGACGGUACCUGAAGAAUAAGCACCGGCUAACUACGUGCCAGCAGCCGCGGUAAUACGUAGGGUGCAAGCGUUAAUCGGAAUUACUGGGCGUAAAGCGUGCGCAGGCGGUUAUGCAAGACAGAGGUGAAAUCCCCGGGCUCAACCUGGGAACUGCCUUUGUGACUGCAUAGCUAGAGUACGGUAGAGGGGGAUGGAAUUCCGCGUGUAGCAGUGAAAUGCGUAGAUAUGCGGAGGAACACCGAUGGCGAAGGCAAUCCCCUGGACCUGUACUGACGCUCAUGCACGAAAGCGUGGGGAGCAAACAGGAUUAGAUACCCUGGUAGUCCACGCCCUAAACGAUGUACAACUGGUUGUUGGGUACGGUUUCUUCUCAGUAACGUAGCUAACGCGUGAAGUUGACCGCGUGGGGAGGUACGGCCGCGAGUAGAACGUACGAAGUAGAGUAGUACGGCGUGAGACGUAGCGACGGACGACGACGAGGGAGGAGG
This 629-nucleotide ribosomal RNA is filed under the name uncultured bacterium. RNAcentral's name for it is "bacterial SSU rRNA". The stretch from base 1 to 545 matches the Rfam family "Bacterial small subunit ribosomal RNA", at positions 338 to 873 of the family's 1533-position model. The record is from RNAcentral.